RNAcentral lists this ribosomal RNA (433 nucleotides) under uncultured bacterium. RNAcentral describes it as "partial 16S ribosomal RNA". It matches the Rfam family "Bacterial small subunit ribosomal RNA", at positions 30 to 507 of the family's 1533-position model. The record is from RNAcentral.
AUCGAACGCUGGCGGCAGGCCUAACACAUGCAAGUCGAGCGAGGACUUCGGUUCUAGCGGCGGACGGGUGAGUAACGCGUGGGAAUGUGCCCUUCUCUACGGAAUAGCCCUGGGAAACUGGGAGUAAUACCGUAUACGCCCUAUUGGGGAAAGAUUUAUCGGAGAAGGAUCAGCCCGCGUUGGAUUAGGUAGUUGGUGGGGUAAUGGCCUACCAAGCCGACGAUCCAUAGCUGGUUUGAGAGGAUGAUCAGCCACACUGGGACUGAGACACGGCCCAGACUCCUACGGGAGGCAGCAGUGGGGAAUCUUAGACAAUGGGGGCAACCCUGAUCUAGCCAUGCCGCGUGAGUGAUGAAGGCCUUAGGGUUGUAAAGCUCUUUCAGCUGGGAAGAUAAUGACGGUACCAGCAGAAGAAGCCCCGGCUAACUCCGUG